This is a long non-coding RNA of Chenopodium quinoa (quinoa), 2823 nucleotides long. RefSeq lists it as uncharacterized. The record is from RefSeq and is a predicted model, not a curated record. The transcript is spliced from 13 exons. Lineage: Eukaryota; Viridiplantae; Streptophyta; Magnoliopsida; Caryophyllales; Amaranthaceae.
UUUCUUUCUUUCUUUCUUUCCCCCCGUUUUUUCCAUCUUCUGUUUUCACUCUAGUUUUCGCCCUCUCUUCCACGCACCAUCGCGAAUUUCACCUUCUCCAUUGAAGGGUUUACGUGCCUUCUCACUCUAUUGAAACAUCACCUCCUUCUCUCUCCAUAUCUCUGGCCUCCAUUGAACUCGUGCUCUAUAUUCUCCAUUGAAGCCGAUCUUGAGCUUUCUAACCUCCAUUGAAGCAGCUUCGAGGUAAGGGUUCUGGUUUUAAUAAGUAGGAGAAGGAGAGAGUAGGUCCUACCCGCCGCCACUCACCCUUCGCCGGCCACCCUCCGUUCCCUCAACCGUCCUUCGUGCAUCGGCCACUGACCACUAGCCCGUUGUCCACAUCAUUUGCACAGCCUUCUGGAAUGUCUUUAUCUCCAGAUAUGAAAUAGGUGUACAUUGCGGAUAGUGAGAGUAGCUCUAUUAGAGCUCUUGAUCUCAAGACAGGAGGAUCAAGAUUGCUGGUUGCAGUGGCACUUCUCAUACUCCUGUUUAGCCUGUAGCGAUAUUGUACCAGUAAAAUGGGAUUCAUAGUUGGCGCUGCUUUAUUUAUAUGGUUCUGCUGUCUGGCUGGCAUUGGAAUCCACAACUUGCUGAAGUAUGAUCGAGAUGUUUGGAAGGCUUUUAACCCUAUCCACAUCUACUUCUAUUUCAAAAGGAACAACAUAGAGGCUUGGUAUGCUCUUGAGGGUUGUCUCCUUUGUGCAACAGGUUCUGAAGCAAUGUUUGCUGACCUUUGCUACUUUUCAGUGAGUUCAGUUCAGGCAGCUUACCUCAUACAGAAUCCAGGAGAUUGCGCCCAAGCAUUUUACUCAUCUGUACCUAGUAUGUUUUGUCCUUAUACCAUAACUCGACUAUUUAUUCAAGUACGUUUGGGCAUGAUUAUAUUCUGGGCAUUGCAUCAUUAGUCAUAUCAUCUCAGGCUUCUUUUGCACUUCAAACUCAAACAGCAACCUCUCUCAAAUAGAAUGAAAAUUGGAGAGAUGUGAAAGAAGCCUUAGCUUUAUUUGUUUUACUGCUAUAAAUCUUUUUGUCAUGUGCAUGUUCUAGCCUCCUAUUCCCAUUCUUACCUUUGGUUAAGCUUUAGGUUAAUGUUUCCCAUAUAGUCUCCUUUUUGACAACCAGGGAGGAUGGAAAAUCUGCUCAUGUAUAUUACUCCUUAUUAAAUUUGUCUGGGUUUACUCAAUGUGAGUGAGUAAAAUACAAAUUCUAUGGCCUUUGAUAGCUAGAUUGGUUAUGGUAAAUUUUCAUUCGAUGACCUAUGUGGAUGGAGAAGCUAUUGUUGUCCCUAUGCUCCCAUCAGCCGCUAGUGUUGUAUGUUUGUGUUCGUGUGUGUGUGUGUGUGUGUGUGAAAUUAUUUUUUUCCCUUUGGUUGUUCUUACCAUUCUUCUUUGCAGCUGAUUAGCAACUCAAUGUGUAAGCUUUCACUAGGACUUUACUACCCUAGGUACCUUAAAAUAGCAUGGGAUAGUUGGAGCAAGUUAGGUUCUUUUAUCUACUGCGGGUUGGAUGAAGGGUGGUGCCUUUUGGCCUGUUUUCAUUAUUGCUAAUAUUGCUGCACUGAUUGCUAGUCGAGAUACGACUACUGCUACAUUUUCAUGUAAAAAGCAAUCGACUACACUUGGCUGCUUUCCUCGACUUAAAAUUAUCCAUACAUCUUGAAAAUUCAUGGGCCAGAUCUACAUUUCUGUUGUGAACUGGUUUUUGCUUGCGGCCAGUGUGGUGUUGGUCUGCUCCGUUCCAAGUAUUACGGAGAUUGGGAAUUCAUAUGCUGCCUCGGGUUCUGUUUGGUGUUGCAGCUGGGCUCUGGCUGAUGUUGCUGUUUAUGGUGCUGAAUGGUGGUUUGUUCUGUUAGCCAAUGUGCUAAUAUUUUUGAUGGGCACAACAAACUUGUAAAGGGAAGGAAAAUUAACUAGAUGAAGGCAGGUAUUUUAGAAUCAGACCGUGUAGUAACUGUGAGCCCUUUCUAUGCACAAGAGAUUGUAUCGAGUGUUGAGAGAGGUGUGGAGCUCAAUGAUAUAGUUCAGAGGACUAGAAUCACUGGCAUAGUGAACAGCAUGGAUGUGCUGGAAUGGAAUCCAACUACUGAUAAGUACGUUGGAUCUAAUUAUGAUAGAUCAACUGAAUAUCCCUUUGAUUGGUUUUAUAGGCCGACUUGAAGAGCAGAAAGGUUGUGACAUUCUUGUAGAAGCAAUUCCUCAAUUCAUCGGGCAAAAUGUGCAGAUUAUUGUUCUUGGACAGGAAAGAAGGAAAUGGAGAAGCAGAUUCAACAGUUGGAAGCUCUCUACCCUCAAACGGCGAGAGGGGUGACCAAAUUCAACGUCGCAUUGGCUCAUAUGAUUGUAGCUGGUGCUGAUUACAUGCUGAUACCUAGCAGAUUUGAGCCCUGUGGGCUAAUCCAGCUCCAUGCAAUGCAUUAUGGAACGGUGCCACUAGUGGCCUCCACUGGUGGACUUGUCAAUACUGUACAAGAAGGUUACACCGGAUUCCACAUGGGUCGUUUCAGUGCAAAUUGUGACACGGUGGAUCCAACUGAUUUACAAGCUGUAGUAACAACAGUGAAGAGGGCAAUAGAGACGUAUGGAACUCCGGCUUCAAGAGAGAUGAUCCAAAAUUGUAUGGCACAAGAUUUCUCAUGGAAGGUAGGCUGUGUGAAGUGAUCAACAUAGUACACUUUUAGCCAAGUUAAUCUCAUUUGUCAUGGUGCUAAUUAAUUUGCUGUAUUUUCGUUCCUUGCUUUGAUUUUUUUUUUGACAAAAAUUGUAAUAUUACAGCCUUUUUUAAUGA